Manis pentadactyla (Chinese pangolin) is the source of this 724-nucleotide long non-coding RNA. RefSeq lists it as uncharacterized. The record is from RefSeq and is a predicted model, not a curated record. NCBI's taxonomy places the organism in Eukaryota, Metazoa, Chordata, Mammalia, Pholidota, Manidae. The transcript has 3 exons.
ACCCCAUCAAGGACUCAAACGGCUCAGGAGGCGUAUGUGCCAGGAGGUGACCCCUGCCAUCUGCUAAGGCAAUUGGGAGUUGGGGUGAUGUGGAGACAGGAGUUGGCAGUAGAACCCCACUGCUGGAAGCAGAGAGCUUUUGAGGUACUCUGGCUGAGAGUCAGAGACCUGCAGAAAUUGAACCAGGAAAAGGAAAACAGAAAGACCAUCUGGUUUGGCUGGCUUUACCAGCCUGAAUCCUGGCCAGGGAGGAGAAUUCGGUGCUGAAGAGAAAGGUUUUUCUGUUUAAUCCUAACAAACUGAGGGAAAAAAUGAGUAUCUCCAUUUUUUUCUCAGAUCAAAAAAAAAGAGACUCGAAGAGGUGAGUAAUUUGCCUAAAAUACAGUUGGCAGGAGAAAGAUGCAGGAUUUGAAGCUAUAUCUGACUUCAAAGUCUAUGCUUUUUCCACUGAAUUAGGAUACUCUGUGUUCAAGCUAUUCUGUUCGUUGUUUUGUGUUCAUGCGCUAUCUCCUCAAACAGAUGAAAACCAUGUUCACAGAAAGCAUGGUGUGCUUCCUUGUUCUGGGGCCGUCUGUGCUAAGGACUCAGCAGGAAUGACUGGAGAAGAAGUGAUGGCUUCUCUCUACAGCCAAACCAACCUCACUGAAUCAUUUCCUGAAACCUCCAAAUCAAACAGCUCCUCUACCAAAUUGACUUUUCAAAAUUCCUGUAUCAGAGUCAUAAA